This 253-nucleotide ribosomal RNA is filed under the name uncultured bacterium. RNAcentral's name for it is "partial 16S ribosomal RNA". It matches the Rfam family "Bacterial small subunit ribosomal RNA", at positions 524 to 776 of the family's 1533-position model. The record is from RNAcentral.
UACAGAGGCCUCGAGCGUUAGUCGGAAUUACUGGGCUUAAAGGGUGCGUAGGCGGGUCGGUAAGUGCUGUGUGAAAGCCCUCGGCUCAACCGAGGAACUGCACGGCAUACUGCCGACCUUGAGGCAGGUAGGGGCGGGCGGAACAGUAGGUGGAGCGGUGAAAUGCGUAGAGAUCUACUGGAACGCCGAUGGUGAAGACGGCCCGCUGGACCUGUCCUGACGCUGAGGCACGAAAGCGUGGGGAGCAAACAGG